GAUGAACGCUGGCGGCGUGCCUAAUACAUGCAAGUCGAGCGAACAGACGAGGAGCUUGCUCCUCUGACGUUAGCGGCGGACGGGUGAGUAACACGUGGAUAACCUACCUAUAAGACUGGGAUCACUUCGGGAAACCGGAGCUAAUACCGGAUAAUAUAUUGAACCGCAUGGUUCAAUAGUGAAAGACGGUUUUGCUGUCACUUAUAGACGGAUCCGCGUCGCAUUAGCUAGUUGGUAAGGUAACGGCUUACCAAGGCAACGAUGCGUAGCCGACCUGAGCGGGUGGACGGCUACACUGGAACUGAGACACGGUCCAGACUCCUACGGUAGGCAGCAGUAGGGAAUCUUCCGCAAUGGGCGAAAGCCGGACGGAGCAACGCCGCGUGAGUGAUGAAGGUCUUCGGAUCGUAAAACUCUGUUAUUAGGGAAGAACAAAUGUGUAAGUAACUAUGCACGUCUUGACGGUACCUAAUCAGAAAGCCACGGCUAACUACGUG
This 497-nucleotide ribosomal RNA is filed under the name uncultured bacterium. RNAcentral describes it as "partial 16S ribosomal RNA". It matches the Rfam family "Bacterial small subunit ribosomal RNA", at positions 28 to 507 of the family's 1533-position model. The record is from RNAcentral.